GUACUUUUGUUGUCUCCCUUUUUUUGUUUUGGGGUAAUUUACAAUGAAACAGUUGUUUAGAUCUAAGGUAAAAUGUCAUUUGUAAUUAAAUGUACAAAUAUGAAUAACUCAAUGUAUUUAAUGCUAAAAUAUUAAUUGAAUAAAAUUGAGAAAGGAAAUGGGAAUGUGUCAAAUCGACAACAACCCGACCAUAGAGCAGACAACAGCCGAAGGCCACCAAUGGGUCUUCAAUGUAGAAAGAAACUCCCAUACCCGUAGGCGUCCUUCAGCUGGCCCCUUAAAACUAUGUAUACAAGUACAGUGAUAAUGGACGUCAUACUAAACUCCGAAUUGUACACAAGAAACUAAAAUUAAAAAUCAGACAAGACUAACAAAGGCCAGAGGCUCCUGACUUGGGACAGGCGCAAAAUUGUGGCAGGGUUAAACAUGUUUAUGAGAUCUCAACCCUCCCCCUAUACCUCUAGCCAAUGUAGAAAAGUAACUGCAUAACAAUAAAGUGAAGUUUACAUUGUUAUGAACUUCUGUAUACAAAGAUAAUUGGCAAAAACUUUAACUAGAUAUUCCGAUGUUGUUACUUUUGUAAUUUGCUCUUUCUUUUGCCAGAAGUCUUACAGAUUCAGAUUAAGACUUUUCAGAGGAACUAUAUAAGUUUCUUUGACUGAAUUAACUUUUAUUGUAAUGAAUUUUGUUUGUCCAAAUAGAAGUAAAAAAGUGUUGGGUUCUAUGUGUUUUCCUCAGAUGUAUAUUAGCUACAAUGGUAAUCAUGAUGAGUGUGUUUUUGUAAGAAACUUUUAUAGCCCUUUUUGGCAGCUGAAGAUGUGUUUAGCCAAGAAAAUUUGUUGAUUUUCUUUAUUUCUGUGUUGAGAAUAAUGUACUUCUAUUUAAGAACUGAAACUCUAUACUGGUAACUAUUCUAUAUGUAUAUUUUGUCUGUAGAUGGCAGAAAAAUGUUCCCUGUAAUGGUAUGUGUAUUGAUUACCAUUGAAAAAAUGUUGUUUUACCUUUUGAAAUUCAACCUUUACCAAAAGGUCAAUGUUAGGUCCUGCCCUCACCAGGUGUCUGUUGUUGUCGUCCAUUCAUCUUUAAUUUUUUUAAUCUUCUCAAAAAGAACUCUUUGUGUAAACCCUUUCCUCCAUAAUGACGCCUUUGACGCCACCCCCUUUACUCCAUAAUGACGCCUUUUGACGCCUGUGUAAUGCAUCAGUUAAAACAUUCUCCUACGAAAAAUCUGUAUCAGACUUAAUAAAAAUUUGUAUCUGAUAUAAAAAGGAUAUUCAUGAGAAUAUACGACUGGAAUUUCAUUGAUGAAAUAUUUGUUUUCCCAAUGCAUUAUGACUUUAAACCUGAUGAAUUUUUUUUUUUGAAACAAUCCUAAGCGAAUCAAGUAUGUAAAAAAAAAAAAUCUAUGGAGGAAAGGGUUAAUGAAAUUACCUGAUUGCAUCUUGUUUGUAAACUGUAUUAAAUUGUAAACCUUUUUUUAUGUUUUUAAGACAAUUUCUAUAAGGCUAGAAAGGUACUGUAAUAAUAGCAAAUGAUCAGCAAAAUGGGAUCUAGAAAUAAGUUAACUUUACUGAAAAUUGUCAAUCAAUUUCUUAAGGAAGUUAUUAUCUUUUUUGCCUACAAGUUCAAAUAAAAUGCUAAGUCUAACAGUAUUUAUGACAUUACACGUUUUCAAAAUUUUAUUUUCAUUCAGCAAGAUAAAAAUAUCUUUUGUUCUAUAUUCAAGACCAUGAACUAGUUUACAGUAGAAAUGACUAUGAUAAUUUGUUUUUUAAUACGGUCUUGUAUCCUUGAUAGCAGACGUCAUCUGUGACAUGUUUGUUGUGUUUUACAGGAAGUACUACUAUUUUUGUACUAUUAUUGACAGUUUGUAUAAAAGAUAAAGAGGAUGAAAACCGGUCACUGAGUACAUUUUCAAGAAAAUUAUAGUGUCACAAAGAUGAGCGAUUUUUAUCCCUUAGUAUUCUAGUGCUGUAUAUAACUUUACAAUUUAUAUUACCAUAUAUUAGUCACCCUUCAAAGACAUGGUGAACAACUAUUCCUCUGAACAAUUCGGACACUGGUUUCUUUCUUUAAGAUAUCAUGAUGACAUGAAAGAAAGGUUUGAAAUUUAGAGUUUCGUUCCUUAAAAAGAAGCUCACGUUUGCUUUAACCGUUAAAUUUGUCUGUCUAACCAUUUGCUGUCAGCAGUUUAUUUUCAAGCAGCUACAUAUACAAAAUCUGCUCCUCUGUCAAGGAACCAACUAUCUAAAUUAUUCCAAACCAAACCAUAGUACCAAAACCAUUUAUCAGGAACACCAGACCAAAUGGUUAAUACAAAAUCAUACAUCUACUUUUGUUAUAAACUUAUUGAUAACUUUGUUGUCUCAAAUUGUAUUGUUUUUGUACAUUUGUUGAAAAAAUGAAGAGUAAUAUUAUGUUUCUUUUGACGUGUACAUAUUUUGGAGUUAUUUCCCCUGUACAAUAUUGUUGUUUCUUCCUCAACUGUUAUGUGAUAUGUGAACAUUUUUUAGAAGUUGUUGUGUAAAACAAAGCAUUACAAAAAAACUUUAUUAUGUAAAACCACUGUAUCAUAG
RNAcentral lists this long non-coding RNA (2576 nucleotides) under Mytilus galloprovincialis (Mediterranean mussel). The record is from RNAcentral. Lineage: Eukaryota; Metazoa; Mollusca; Bivalvia; Mytilida; Mytilidae.